UCCCUGUAGCUCAGUUGGUAAAGAAUCUGCCUGCGAUGCAGGAGACCCGGGUUCGAUUCCUGGGUUGGGAA
RNAcentral lists this transfer RNA (71 nucleotides) under Bos taurus (domestic cattle). It matches the Rfam family "tRNA". From Rfam's summary of the family: Transfer RNA (tRNA) molecules are approximately 80 nucleotides in length. Their secondary structure includes four short double-helical elements and three loops (D, anti-codon, and T loops). The record is from Rfam by way of RNAcentral. Lineage: Eukaryota; Metazoa; Chordata; Mammalia; Artiodactyla; Bovidae. RNAcentral also lists the same sequence under 2 other names.